UACAGAGGGGCCGAGCGUUAUGCGGAAUCACUGGGCUUAAAGCGUGUGUAGGCGGACUUCUAAGUCCCUUGUGAAAUCCCACGGCUCACCCGUGGAACUGCUGGGCAUACUGGGAGUCUUGAGCCACCUAGGGGCGAGCGGAACAAAUGGUGGAGCGGUGAAAUGCGUAGAUAUCAGGUGGAACGCCAACGGAGAAAUCAGCUCGCUGGGGGUGUGCUGACGCUGAGACACGAAAGCCAGGGGAGCGAACGGG
RNAcentral lists this ribosomal RNA (253 nucleotides) under uncultured bacterium. RNAcentral describes it as "partial 16S ribosomal RNA". It matches the Rfam family "Bacterial small subunit ribosomal RNA", at positions 524 to 776 of the family's 1533-position model. The record is from RNAcentral.